This 492-nucleotide ribosomal RNA is filed under the name uncultured bacterium. Its description in RNAcentral is "partial 16S ribosomal RNA". It matches the Rfam family "Bacterial small subunit ribosomal RNA", at positions 29 to 507 of the family's 1533-position model. The record is from RNAcentral.
AGUGAACGCUGGCGGUAGGCCUAACACAUGCAAGUCGAACGGCAGCACAGUAAGCUCUUGCUCUUACGGUUGGCGAGUGGCGGACGGGUGAGGAAUACAUCGGAAUCUACUUUUUCGGGGGUGAUAACGGAGGGCAACUUCCGCUAAUACCUCAUACGACCUACGGGUGAAAUCAGUGGUGCUUCGGACCUUGCCCGUUUGAAUGAGCCGAUGUCGCAUUAGCUAGGUGGCGGGGUAAGGGCCCACCAAGGCAACGAUCCGUAGCUGACCUGAGAGGAUGAUCGGCCACACUGGAACUGAGACACGGUCCAGACUCCUACGGGAGGCAGCAGUGGGGAAUCUUCAGCAAUGGGCGAAAGCCUGACGGAGCAACGCCGCGUGAGUGAGGAAGGUCUUCGGAUCGUAAAACUCUUUUAUUAGGAAAGAAAAAAUGUGUAAGUAACCAUGCAUGUCUUGACGGUACCUAAUAAGAAAGCCCCGGCUAACUACGUG